Cinara cedri is the source of this 261-nucleotide non-coding RNA. The record is from the annotation of a GenBank genome assembly. Lineage: Eukaryota; Metazoa; Arthropoda; Insecta; Hemiptera; Aphididae.
ACCAUAAUGUGACAUAUAAAUUGUUAACAAAACAACAAUAUUAACCAAAUUCCACUCAGAAUGGUUUUUUGUCAUUCAUGGUUAAUCGUUGCCUACAGAUAUGCAUUCAAUUUCCCCUCUAUAUUCCCAAUCACAACUACAACAGUGGCCAACCCAGGUGCGAAGUAUAUCCUUUUUUUCAUAACGUUAUAUACAUUUUAAAUUUAUUUUAAUAAGCAUAUAUAUAUUAUUAUAUACAAUGAAAUCUUUAUUUGAACAGUG